This 852-nucleotide ribosomal RNA is filed under the name uncultured Acidobacteriota bacterium. RNAcentral's name for it is "bacterial SSU rRNA". It matches the Rfam family "Bacterial small subunit ribosomal RNA", at positions 58 to 904 of the family's 1533-position model. Lineage: Bacteria; Pseudomonadati; Acidobacteriota. The record is from RNAcentral.
CAAGUCGAGUGCGCAGUCUGCUGUAGCAAUACAGCAGAUCGGCGCACGGCGCACGGGUGCGUAACACGUGGGUAACCUGCCCUCCAAAGGGGGAUAACCCGCCGAAAGGCGGGCUAAUACCGCAUGACAUUCCGGUGGCUUCGGCCGCUGGAAUCAAAGCCCGCAAGGGCGUUGGAGGAGGGGCCCGCGGCCGAUUAGCUUGUUGGCGAGGUAACGGCUCACCAAGGCUUUGAUCGGUAGCCGGUCUGAGAGGAUGGCCGGCCACACUGGAACUGAGACACGGUCCAGACUCCUACGGGAGGCAGCAGUGGGGAAUCUUGCGCAAUGGGCGAAAGCCUGACGCAGCGACGCCGCGUGGGGGAUGAAGCUUCUCGGAGUGUAAACCCCUUUCGACCCGGACGAAACACCCGCAAGGGUUUGACGGUACGGGUAUAAGAAGCCCCGGCUAACUACGUGCCAGCAGCCGCGGUAAGACGUAGGGGGCCAGCGUUGCUCGGAAUUACUGGGCGUAAAGGGUUCGUAGGCGGUGUGGUAAGUCGGAAGUGAAAUCUCUGGGCUUAACUCAGAGGCCGCUUUCGAAACUGCCGCGCUAGAGUGCGGGAGAGGCGAGUGGAAUUACAGGUGUAGCGGUGAAAUGCGUAGAUAUCUGUAGGAACACCCGUGGCGAAGGCGGCUCGCUGGACCGCAACUGACGCUGAGGAACGAAAGCUAGGGGAGCAAACAGGAUUAGAUACCCUGGUAGUCCUAGCCCUAAACCAUCAGGACUUGGGGUGGCCCGCGUUGGCGGGUCGUCCCGGAGCUAACGCGUUAAGUCCUGCGCCUGGGGAGUACGGUCGCAAGGCUGAAACUCAA